CAAGUCGAGCGAGAAAGUGUAGCAAUACAUGAGUACAGCGGCGCACGGGUGAGUAACACGUGGAUAACCUGCCUCAAAGUGGGGAAUAACACCGGGAAACCGGUGCUAAUACCGCAUAUUCUGAUGAGAUCUGCGGAUUUUGUCAGGAAAGGAGCAAUUCGCUAUGAGAGGGGUCCGCGGCUGAUUAGCUAGUUGGUGAGGUAAUGGCUCACCAAGGCCACGAUCAGUAGCCGGUCUGAGAGGACGGUCGGCCACACUGGAACUGAGACACGGUCCAGACUCCUACGGGAGGCAGCAGUGGGGAAUUUUUCGCAAUGGGGGCAACCCUGACGAAGCAAUGCCGCGUGGAUGAUGAGGUCUCUUGGGACGUAAAAUCCUUUCGACAGGGACGAAACCGCAAGGUUGACGGUACCUGUAGAAGAAGCCCCGGCUAACUCCGUGCCAGCAGCCGCGGUAAUACGGGGGGGGCAAGCGUUGUUCGGAAUUACUGGGCGUAAAGGGUGCGUAGGCGGCUCUCUAAGUCGGAUGUGAAAACUCUGGGCUCAACCCAGAGCCUGCAUCCGAAACUGGAGGGCUAGGGUUCUGGAGGGGAAAGCGGAAUUCCUGGUGUAGCGGUGAAAUGCGUAGAUAUCAGGAGGAACACCGGUGGCGAAGGCGGCUUUCUGGACAGAUACCGACGCUGAGGCACGAAAGCUAGGGGAGCAAACAGGAUUAGAUACCCUGGUAGUCCUAGCCCUAAACUAUGGAUACUUGCUGUGGGGGGGAUUGAAGCCCCUUGUGGCGAAGCUAACGCAUUAAGUAUCCC
RNAcentral lists this ribosomal RNA (805 nucleotides) under uncultured Bacillota bacterium. Its description in RNAcentral is "bacterial SSU rRNA". It matches the Rfam family "Bacterial small subunit ribosomal RNA", at positions 58 to 870 of the family's 1533-position model. The record is from RNAcentral. Lineage: Bacteria; Bacillati; Bacillota.